RNAcentral lists this long non-coding RNA (3435 nucleotides) under Bemisia tabaci. RNAcentral's name for it is "lncRNA ENSASIAIIG001920". The record is from RNAcentral. Lineage: Eukaryota; Metazoa; Arthropoda; Insecta; Hemiptera; Aleyrodidae.
AUGAUGACUAAAUUGGCGUCUGACAAACUUCAAGAUAUUCUUGACCGGAAGGCUCAGUUGGAGAUCUCCACUGAAGUUAAUCAGAUCUUAGAUGUGCUUUUCAGUCUCUUUGAUGUCGAGAUGACAACAGCAGAUCUACAAACUACUCUCAUCGGGCACACCGUGAACUUAUUGCGGCAUGACGAGUCUGUUGGCACCGUUGCUCAGUGUUUGAUUCGCAAGUGGAAGAACAUCAUAAUCGAUGAAAUGGAAGGGGGAGAGUCAUGCUCAGAUAGUGAUGAAGUUUCUUGCGAUAGUGAUAGCAAUCAGUCGGAGCCCUCUGAUACUGAUUCUGUUUCCUGUGAUUGUGAUAGCUGUCCGUCAAAGCUGCAUGAUAGAAGGAGCAACCUUUUAAAAAUUUGUACCAAAGCCACUCCCCUUGUUAAACUUAUCCGGGUGGAUGCCCAAAAGUUACCAGCCAUUAUGAACACUGACAACCAAGAGGGAAAGGUCAUCAACCAAGUUCAAGAUGCGGAAGCCUCUGGUUCAGGAUUGUUAGAGUCCGAGUGUCCGGCUGCCACAUACCCCUCAUCAAACCGGAAAGUCAAAAAUGAUACGAAGUUCGCUCUAGUUGAGCACGACAAGAACUACUGUCCUCAUUUUCGUGUGAGUAUUUCUACUAUCUGUAAAUGUAUACCCUUUUCCUUCUUUGUAAGGGGAAGAGGAAGUAUUGAGAUCAUAUUUCCGCCCAGCAUACAUAUCUGAUCAUUAUGCAUCACUUUUUUUGGUAGCAUUUAAGUUUUACAUAGGUCAUAAUUCCCUUUCAACUUCAUUAUAUGGUUUAAUUUAGAGCUCUGAAGAGCUUUUGGGUCCACAUUGUGGGCUAUCGUCUUAGCAGGGGCCCAGAAAGUUCUUUGUUUUCUUCUCAAUCAAGUUCACUUUUACAAAAUACCCUUUUAGUGAACAAGCUUAGUUUGUAAAAGAGACACCUCUUUAAUAAAAAAGUAGCGCCCUCAGCAUUUCUCCUCACAAAAAAGUAGCAUGUUUGGCCAAUUUUUCUACUAUAGCCAAUGUACUAGUUAGUCUAUUUCACUAAAAUUAACGCCGUUUCCUACUUUCAGAGAACUCAAAUGAAAAUUCAGUUAAUUGAAAAAAGAUAGAAAGAAAAAUAAAAUUGCUCCCUUGAGGAAUUUCUUGUUCUCACUCAUCUCGCUGCUUCCACCAAAAUGCAUGGGAGUGCGCUCCAUCAUUUUCUGGACCCCUGUGGCUCUUGAUGAUAUUUUUUUAAAUAAAAGUUUCAUAUUUGUAUUGUUUAGGUUUCAUCGAAAAAAAAACAGACAUUCUUGUGAACCUCUAAACUUGAUCAAUCAACUUGAUGGUGAUAAGUUGAAGGGUUCUCUAAGAAAAAUCUUCUAUUUUGAAAAUGACGAUUAAUACACCCGGUAAUCCAGACCAUCCGCGCCUGGCUUUUUUUCCGGAUCAGUUCAAGGAUCACUGAGGCAAGAAAAGAAUUGACUCCAAAGAAUCGGAAUUCAAUUAACUUGAAGCCUUCCUGACCUCUUUUGGAAGGUAAAAAGGGAGUUCAGAUUUUAAAAGUCAAGGUCUCAGGCAGGAGUGAGUCAAUUUUGGACUCUUUUGGGUCUUUUUAAUUUAAAAUUUUCUAUGCUUUUCGAUUUCAGCAGAAUUUAAGUCAGGCAGGCUUCGUGUUCAUGAAAAUUAGGAUUCUUUGGUGGGGAUUUCCUUUUCUCUCCUGCGCUCCCGACCUCAUUCUACCUGACAUAACCGAAAAAAAGCCUGGUGUGAGUGGUCUGGGUCUUCCUUUACUGAAUCAGAGGGAAGACGUUGUGCUAUAAGUACUAAGGAGUCCUUUCUGUUCUGACUUUUAUAAUAAGAAACCUCUUAAAGAAGUUAUUUUUACCUCUAUGGAAAUCUGAGCACCCUUUAGACACUUCUUUACCAGGAUCCUAGUUUUUAACCUAAAUUACCAUCGGUCGUUUAAUGCCAAAGAUUCUAAUGAUUUAUUGUAAGUUUUAAAACAUGGAUAUGCUGUGAUCGUAUUCAGACCAAAUCUAAAUGCCAGAUUUCUUGAUAAGUAGCAGAAUAUUAGCUUCUUUUUUAGAAUGUUUACACUUUGCUAUAAUGUGGAAGACUUUUCCGCUUGGCACAUCAUCUUGAGAACAAUAUUCGAUAACUUUUGUUCCCUAAGUUAAACCAUGCAAAAUGGGUAAAGUUUUGUACUUCUACAGUGAGAUAGAAAAUUUACCAUCUUCAUAUAUAAGUAUUAGAACGGUAAGAAUCAAAACAGUGGAUUUUCUGCCUCACUUCAGAAAAACUAAAACUUCUUUGGCUAGGACUUAAUAAAAAUUGCACUUUUUUUCAGGUAUUUUAUAGGUUAAGUAUAUCUACAUAUUGUAAGUUUUUUUGUUUUAAUAUAAAUUGUGAUACUCUUUCUAAAUAUAGCAUUUCUUGAAAAAAAUGGUUUUGUUUUCAUCGCAAUUCUUCCUGCAUAGAUUGUUGAAAUUUCUUUUUUUUCUUACAAGACAAGACAAAGGCUAAAGUGAAAUGGAGCUUUUUGGUUGGUCAGUAGCAUCAUUGUUUGCAUUAUCUGCUGUAUCUCUGUAGGCAGAACAAUCGGUUGGCUAAAGACAGCUCCUCGGUGGUCAACGAAUUUUUUUACUACUUUUUCCGAUAAAAGCAUAACAAACAAACAAAUAUAGUGAUGCAACUUAUCGACUGCAAAGAUCUAUUUGGUUCACAACAGUCAUGUCUUGUCCUGGAGGCAAAUGCAAAUUUGUAAUAAUUGACUGGCAUCUUAGGUCAACCAGUCCCAAUUAUCCUAGAUACCAAGAAAGAAAAUAAUAUAAUGGUCAAUUACAAAUUGCAGAAUACCAUUGUUCAAGGAUUGAAAAAGAAGAAUAUUUACAUGAGUUUUUUUUUUUUUUUUUUUUUAAAAAGUUAUAAUUUGAUCUUAACCAAAGAGGUUCGACCAACAGGAUGGAAUACAUAGUAUAAGUAAAAAAAGGAAAUUUUUGAGGAGACAAUUAAAUUCGAUGAAUAUGUGAUUGUAGCAAAAAGUCUGAAUAACCUCCGAGGAUUACUUUUGUUUUCACUUUAGAGCAAGAAACCUCUAAGACCUUAUUUCAGUCCAUCACCCACAGAGAUUAUCUUUUUUUGUAAUUACUGUCCUAAUUUUUAUAAAAUUAAAAAAAGGAGAUGUGACAUGCUCUCCUUAAAACAGAUGUAAGUUUCUUUUCUGAUGAUUAAGUUUUAAAUCAUUGAAUAAAGUUUAAUUUACAAAUAAGCCUUGAAGUUGUUCUUCUUUGACAAACAACGGACAAUAAUACACUAUUUACAGGAACGCCUUCAAAACUUAUAAUAUGUCUUACUUAAAUCGUCACUCAGUUCUUCCAGUGUUCGAUGAGUAAAUGACAACAAUCAACUUUUGAACUCAGUCAG